This 492-nucleotide ribosomal RNA is filed under the name uncultured bacterium. RNAcentral's name for it is "partial 16S ribosomal RNA". It matches the Rfam family "Bacterial small subunit ribosomal RNA", at positions 29 to 507 of the family's 1533-position model. The record is from RNAcentral.
AGUGAACGCUGGCGGUAGGCCUAACACAUGCAAGUCGAACGGCAGCACAGUAAGAGCUUGCUCUUACGGGUGGCGAGUGGCGGACGGGUGAGGAAUACAUCGGAAUCUACUUUUUCGUGGGGGAUAACGUAGGGAAACUUACGCUAAUACCGCAUACGACCUACGGGUGAAAGCAGGGGAUCUUCGGACCUUGCGCGAUUGAAUGAGCCGAUGUCGGAUUAGCUAGUUGUCGGGGUAAAGGCCCACCAAGGCGACGAUCCGUAGCUGGUCUGAGAGGAUGAUCAGACACACGGGAACUGAGACACGGUCCAGAGUCCUACGGGAGGAAGAAGUGGGGAAUAUUGGACAAUGGGAGCAAGCCUGAUCCAGCCAUACCGCGUGGGUGAAGAAGGCCUUCGGGUUGUAAAGCCCUUUUGUUGGGAAAGAAAAGCAGCAGGUUAAUACCCCGCUGUUCUGACGGUACCCAAAGAAUAAGCACCGGCUAACUUCGUG